AGGGUUUGAUCAUGGCUCAGAAUGAACGUUGGCGGCGUGGAUUAGGCAUGCAAGUCGAGCGAGAAGUUUACUUCGGUAAAUGGACAGCGGCGAAAGGGACAGUAAUGUGUAGGUACCUACCCCCCGAUCUGGGAUAGCUGCGGGAAACUGCAGGUAAUACCGGAUAAUGUCUUCGGACCAAAGGUGUGAUUCCGUCAGGGGAGGGGCCUGCAUCCUAUUAGCUUGUUGGUGAGGUAAUGGCUCACCAAGGCAACGAUGGGUAGCGGGUGUGAGAGCAUGACCCGCGUCAUUGGGACUGAGACACUGCCCAGACAUCUACGGAUGGCUGCAGUCGAGAAUCUUCGGCAAUGGGCGAAAGCCUGACCGAGCGACGCCGCGUGCGGGAUGAAGGCCCUCGGGUUGUAAACCGCUGUCGUUGGGGAGGAAAUGCAAAAGGGUUAUCCCUUCUGUUUGACCGAUCCAAGGAGGAAGUACGGGCUAAGUUCGUGCCAGCAGCCGCGGUAAGACGAACCGUACGAACGUUAUUCGGAAUUACUGGGCUUAAAGGGUGCGUAGGCUGCACGGAAAGUUGGGUGUGAAAGCCCUCAGCUCAACUGAGGAAUUGCAUCCAAAACUGCCGUGCUAGAGGGAGACAGAGGUGAGCGGAACUCAAGGUGGAGCGGUGAAAUGCGUUGAUAUCUUGAGGAACACCGGUGGCGAAAGCGGCUCACUGGGUCUCUUCUGACGCUGAGGCACGAAAGCUAAGGUAGCAAACGGGAUUAGAUACCCCGGUAGUCUUAGCUGU
Molecule: ribosomal RNA, 784 nt
Filed under: uncultured bacterium
Lineage: Bacteria
Description: bacterial SSU rRNA
Rfam family: Bacterial small subunit ribosomal RNA
Source: RNAcentral